This 252-nucleotide ribosomal RNA is filed under the name uncultured bacterium. RNAcentral's name for it is "partial 16S ribosomal RNA". It matches the Rfam family "Bacterial small subunit ribosomal RNA", at positions 524 to 776 of the family's 1533-position model. The record is from RNAcentral.
CACGGGGGGUGCAAGCAUUAAUCGGAAUUAUUGGGCGUAAAGAGUUCGUAGGUUGUUUGAUAAGUCAGUUGUGAAAUACCAGACCUUAAGUUUGGAACUGCAACAGAUACUGUCUUUCUAGAGCUUUAUAGAGGGUUAUGGAAUUCCUAGUGUAGCGGUGAAAUGCUUAGAUAUUAGGAGGAACACCAAUAGCGAAGGCAGUAGCCUGGGUAAAGCUGACACUGAGGAACGAAAGCGUAGGUAGCAAACAGG